Molecule: ribosomal RNA, 429 nt
Filed under: Chloroflexota bacterium
Lineage: Bacteria; Bacillati; Chloroflexota
Description: Chloroflexi bacterium partial 16S ribosomal RNA
Rfam family: Bacterial small subunit ribosomal RNA
Source: RNAcentral
UGGGGAAUAUUGCACAAUGGGCGCAAGCCUGAUGCAGCCAUGCCGCGUGUAUGAAGAAGGCCUUCGGGUUGUAAAGUACUUUCAGCGGGGUGGAAGGGAGUAAAGUUAAUACCUUUGCUCAUUGACGUUACCCGCAGAAGAAGCACCGGCUAACUCCGUGCCAGCAGCCGCGGUAAUACGGAGGGUGCAAGCGUUAAUCGGAAUUACUGGGCGUAAAGCGCACGCAGGCGGUUUGUUAAGUCAGAUGUGAAAUCCCCGGGCUCAACCUGGGAACUGCAUCUGUUACUGGCAAGCUUGAGUCUCGUAGAGGGGGGUAGAAUUUCAAGUGUAGCAGUGAAAUGCGUAGAGAUCUGGAGGAAUACCGGUGGCGAAGGCGGCCCCCUGGACAAAGACAGACGCUCAGGUGCGAAAGCGUGGGGAGCAAACAGG